UUCGAUUUUCUAUCUAGGUAUAGUUCGAUCUGUCGGCCGUUUUUUAUCUUUUUUAUCUGUCUUCAGACUUGUGCUAAUCCUUUGUUGAAAUUGCAGGCAUGCCAUCGAGAGUGAGGCUGACAGAUACCGACAUUCAACAACAUGCAGUGAGGAAGAGACCGGUGCCUGGGUCGGACCUUCGCGGCCUCCCAAGAGGCCUCAAAUAUCAUCGCCGACCGAUAUUGCGACGGUGGCAGCGCAGCCCGACACCGAAUGUGCGUCG
Molecule: long non-coding RNA, 262 nt
Filed under: Elaeis guineensis (African oil palm)
Lineage: Eukaryota; Viridiplantae; Streptophyta; Magnoliopsida; Arecales; Arecaceae
Description: long non-coding RNA (EGUI_LNC011431)
Source: RNAcentral